GCAAUACAAAAUUGGCUGGGUUCUUGGACGCCGAGGUCGCCCAAACCAGAGUUUGCAGUAAUCAACAUAUAGGUAUCAUUAUCCAUGUUCUUCACCCUCCUCUCCAUCAGCCCAAUGACCAACAGGCUCCUUCCCUAAUCUUGUUUGGUCUCCAAAUCCUCGGUAGUUGUGGAAUUAGAAUUAGGGUGGGUGAAGUAUUUACAUACAAAGCAAGUAUAAGAGCCUCCGAGCCUCACCGCUACAAAUCCAAAUUGAACCCAACAACCGAUUUCAGAAGAUUCAGUCAUGUCUAGUGAAGAAUGGUUUUUCCAUCACAGGGUGGUGCAAACAAGCCUAAGGGAACCGUACCCCGGAGGAGGAAGCGGCGGCGAGGUCAAGAUUCUGUUCAAAUUGUUGUUCUACAGGGUAAACGCAAGCCAAUCCCAGGGGGGUGAUCCAGUUUAUGACAGAAGUGAGUCAACCAUCCCAGUAUCUCAAGCAGAAUUUUGGGUCAAUUUUGGUGAGAUCAAGUCGAAUAAUAGAGUCGAGGAGUAUAGAGCGAUGAUGUCGGAUUCUCUUUCAAACUUGGGUGUCCCGCAAGAUGAGCAUCCACAUAUUAUUGAAAACAUAUUCCAGGUGGUUGACGCGGCCGUCUUCCCCGACUACCCUAUUGUUGUUGGCGUAUGGGACACCACUUUUCGCAGCAGGAGUAGUGAUGAAGAUGAAGUAUGUAGACCUAAUUUCGUUCCGGCAGCGGAAUUGUCCAUCCAGGGUUUGCAGCAAGUGACACUUGAUGGCUCGGAAUUUAAGGCACGUUUACUUACUUGGAAUGGAAUGUAAUGGAAUGAUUACGGAGUAAAAAUACCCCUGUGUUUACUAACACAUAAAGAAAUCGGAAUGAUUCUAGGUAAAAGAAUUCCUGUGUUUACUAACACAUGAAGGAAUGAGAAUUGGUGUAGGUCCCACCUAUUUAUCAGGAAUCGAUUCCUGAAUACUCAGGAAUUCGAUUACGAAGGGGGGAGAUGAGUUUAGGAAUCAUUCCUCCGGAAUCAAUACCGAUUCCUUUCUUCUCUCAUUCCACUUGUCUCCGAUUCAUGAUUAUUUUCCAUUCCAAAUAAGUAAACGUGCCAUUAGGGAAUUUGAAGCAACAAAAUCAUCAUGUGCAAUUUGUUUGGAGGAUUUUGCGGCACAAGGUAUUGAUCGACUGGUGGUGGUUACUAGCUUGCCCUGCUCACACUAUUAUCAUGGAGAUUGCAUUGUCAAGUGGCUGGAGAUUAGUCAUCUAUGUCCCAUAUGCCGAUACCCAAUGCCAAUAGAGCAAGUGGGCGAGCCAUCAUCAAAUCCCUUGCCCCAAUCAAGGCAAUAGCGUAUAUUAUAUAUAUAUAUGCUGCUACUUGCCAAGAGGUAUUAUUCAAUGCCAGAUUUGAACAAGGUGUAAACAUAAAAAAGAUAGAACAAGAGAUCCUGGGUGUUAAUUCUGAGGAUCCAGUUGCCAUGGUCAGUAUCCAGAGAGUAGCCUCUUCGUUCUUCAAUGCGGUUGAACAGAAGGAUUAAAAACCUCCCGAUGAAAAUGAACAGGAGUUAAACAAGUUAAUUGCUGAGAUUGGGGCUGCAUGAACAUGGGAGGUGAGGAAGCAGCAGAGAAAGAAGAGUUUAUCCAAUUAAGGUAUUGGAAAAGAGAACAAUUUGGGGGAACAUGAGAAGAUCUGAAGCACUUUCCGAUGAUGAAAUCAAAAGGAUGAGUUGGUGGGUUCUAAAAAUGUUGCAGAUGCUAGUGUUUCUGACAGUGAUGCUGAUGAUUCUUGUGGAAGCAUAAGAAAUUCAAGGCAUCUAGAUUAGAAAUGCUGAAGAUACUAAUAGUUAGAUAAUGGCGGACAAAUUAAAGGUAGUAUGUUCGGUGAUCUUAAAACUGCAAUAUCGCUCCUAAUGAUGAGGAAGAACAUGAAAUAACUCCAUCGAGAGCUUAUUCACUAUGAUUACGGAGUAAUAUACUUUCCUCGCCUCUGUGUGACUCCGCCAGUGGUGAUAACGAAGAGGACUGGAAGUUCAUCUUGUGAGAGGAGAGUAAAUAUUUCGAGGAAGAUCAUGACUAGUUCGGGGCAACGAAUAAUGCAAAUGGCAAGCAUUAUAGUACAUACUAGUAAAUCAGCCCGCGCUUUGCUGCGGGUUUUUUGUGACUAAUCAGAAAGUGGUAAUUUGUUUUCAGGCAUUCUUCCAAUAAGUCGUAAUUUGGUAUUGAAAUUUUAGCC
This is a long non-coding RNA of Rosa rugosa (rugosa rose), 2228 nucleotides long. RefSeq lists it as uncharacterized. Lineage: Eukaryota; Viridiplantae; Streptophyta; Magnoliopsida; Rosales; Rosaceae. The transcript is spliced from 2 exons. The record is from RefSeq and is a predicted model, not a curated record.